UUUGGUUAAGUUAGAAAGGGCGCACGGUGGAUGCCUUGACACUAGGAGUCGAUGAAGGACGGGACUAACGCCGAUAUGCUUCGGGGAGCUGUAAGUAAGCUUUGAUCCGAAGAUUUCCGAAUGGGGAAACCCACCAUACGUAAUGGUAUGGUAUCCUUAUCUGAAUACAUAGGGUAAGGAAGACAGACCCAGGGAACUGAAACAUCUAAGUACCUGGAGGAAGAGAAAGCAAAUGCGAUUUCCUGAGUAGCGGCGAGCGAAACGGAACAUAGCCCAAACCAAGAGGCUUGCCUCUUGGGGUUGUAGGACAUUCUAUACGGAGUUACAAAGGAACGAGGUAGACGAAGCGACCUGGAAAGGUCCGUCGUAGAGGGUAACAACCCCGUAGUCGAAACUUCGUUCUCUCUUGAAUGUAUCCUGAGUACGGCGGAACACGUGAAAUUCCGUCGGAAUCUGGGAGGACCAUCUCCCAAGGCUAAAUACUCCCUAGUGAUCGAUAGUGAACCAGUACCGUGAGGGAAAGGUGAAAAGCACCCCGGAAGGGGAGUGAAAGAGAUCCUGAAACCGUGUGCCUACAAAUAGUCAGAGCCCGUUAACGGGUGAUGGCGUGCCUUUUGUAGAAUGAACCGGCGAGUUACGAUCCCGUGCGAGGUUAAGCUGAAGAGGCGGAGCCGCAGCGAAAGCGAGUCUGAAUAGGGCGUUUAGUACGUGGUCGUAGACCCGAAACCAGGUGAUCUACCCAUGUCCAGGGUGAAGUUCAGGUAACACUGAAUGGAGGCCCGAACCCACGCACGUUGAAAAGUGCGGGGAUGAGGUGUGGGUAGCGGAGAAAUUCCAAUCGAACCUGGAGAUAGCUGGUUCUCCCCGAAAUAGCUUUAGGGCUAGCCUUAAGUGUAAGAGUCUUGGAGGUAGAGCACUGAUUGGACUAGGGGUCCUCAUCGGAUUACCGAAUUCAGUCAAACUCCGAAUGCCAAUGACUUAUCCUUAGGAGUCAGACUGCGAGUGAUAAGAUCCGUAGUCAAAAGGGAAACAGCCCAGACCGCCAGCUAAGGUCCCAAAGUGUGUAUUAAGUGGAAAAGGAUGUGGAGUUGCUUAGACAACUAGGAUGUUGGCUUAGAAGCAGCCACCAUUUAAAGAGUGCGUAAUAGCUCACUAGUCGAGUGACUCUGCGCCGAAAAUGUACCGGGGCUAAAUACACCACCGAAGCUGCGGAUUGAUACCAAUGGUAUCAGUGGUAGGGGAGCGUUCUAAGGACAGUGAAGUCAGACCGUAAGGACUGGUGGAGUGCUUAGAAGUGAGAAUGCCGGUAUGAGUAGCGAAAGACGGGUGAGAAUCCCGUCCACCGAAUGCCUAAGGUUUCCUGAGGAAGGCUCGUCCGCUCAGGGUUAGUCAGGACCUAAGCCGAGGCCGACAGGCGUAGGCGAUGGACAACAGGUUGAUAUUCCUGUACCACCUCUUUAUCGUUUGAGCAAUGGAGGGACGCAGAAGGAUAGAAGAAGCGUGCGAUUGGUUGUGCACGUCCAAGCAGUUAGGCUGAUAAGUAGGCAAAUCCGCUUAUCGUGAAGGCUGAGCUGUGAUGGGGAAGCUCCUUAUGGAGCGAAGUCUUUGAUUCCCCGCUGCCAAGAAAAGCUUCUAGCGAGAUAAAAGGUGCCUGUACCGCAAACCGACACAGGUAGGCGAGGAGAGAAUCCUAAGGUGUGCGAGAGAACUCUGGUUAAGGAACUCGGCAAAAUGACCCCGUAACUUCGGGAGAAGGGGUGCUUUCUUAACGGAAAGCCGCAGUGAAUAGGCCCAAGCGACUGUUUAGCAAAAACACAGCUCUCUGCGAAGCCGUAAGGCGAAGUAUAGGGGGUGACACCUGCCCGGUGCUGGAAGGUUAAGGAGAGGGGUUAGCGUAAGCGAAGCUCUGAACUGAAGCCCCAGUAAACGGCGGCCGUAACUAUAACGGUCCUAAGGUAGCGAAAUUCCUUGUCGGGUAAGUUCCGACCCGCACGAAAGGUGUAACGAUUUGGGCACUGUCUCAACCAGAGACUCGGUGAAAUUAUAGUACCUGUGAAGAUGCAGGUUACCCGCGACAGGACGGAAAGACCCCGUGGAGCUUUACUGUAGCCUGAUAUUGAAUUUUGGUACAGUUUGUACAGGAUAGGCGGGAGCCAUUGAAACCGGAGCGCUAGCUUCGGUGGAGGCGCUGGUGGGAUACCGCCCUGACUGUAUUGAAAUUCUAACCUACGGGUCUUAUCGACCCGGGAGACAGUGUCAGGUGGGCAGUUUGACUGGGGCGGUCGCCUCCUAAAGUGUAACGGAGGCGCCCAAAGGUUCCCUCAGAAUGGUUGGAAAUCAUUCGUAGAGUGCAAAGGCAUAAGGGAGCUUGACUGCGAGACCUACAAGUCGAGCAGGGACGAAAGUCGGGCUUAGUGAUCCGGUGGUUCCGCAUGGAAGGGCCAUCGCUCAACGGAUAAAAGCUACCCCGGGGAUAACAGGCUUAUCUCCCCCAAGAGUCCACAUCGACGGGGAGGUUUGGCACCUCGAUGUCGGCUCAUCGCAUCCUGGGGCUGUAGUCGGUCCCAAGGGUUGGGCUGUUCGCCCAUUAAAGCGGUACGCGAGCUGGGUUCAGAACGUCGUGAGACAGUUCGGUCCCUAUCCGUCGUGGGCGUAGGAAAUUUGAGAGGAGCUGUCCUUAGUACGAGAGGACCGGGAUGGACGCACCGCUGGUGUACCAGUUGUUCUGCCAAGGGCAUAGCUGGGUAGCUAUGUGCGGAAGGGAUAAGUGCUGAAAGCAUCUAAGCAUGAAGCCCCCCUCAAGAUGAGAUUUCCCAUAGCGUAAGCUAGUAAGAUCCCUGAAAGAUGAUCAGGUUGAUAGGUUCGAGGUGGAAGCAUGGUGACAUGUGGAGCUGACGAAUACUAAUAGAUCGAGGACUUAACCUUAUAA
RNAcentral lists this ribosomal RNA (2929 nucleotides) under Bacillus cereus. Its description in RNAcentral is "bacterial LSU rRNA". It matches the Rfam family "Bacterial large subunit ribosomal RNA". Lineage: Bacteria; Bacillati; Bacillota; Bacilli; Caryophanales; Bacillaceae. The record is from RNAcentral.